RNAcentral lists this unclassified non-coding RNA (260 nucleotides) under Hevea brasiliensis (rubber tree). The record is from RNAcentral. Lineage: Eukaryota; Viridiplantae; Streptophyta; Magnoliopsida; Malpighiales; Euphorbiaceae.
UAAAAAAUAAAAAUAAAAAUAGCAAGUAUGAACUAACAUAUACAAGAGUAAACUCAUACAAACAGAAGCAUAUAUAAUCCGAGUAGAAAUGGCACAGAAAUCAGGCCUAUUGACCGAAAGCAGAGCUUUUAACUAAACACAACUACCAGUGUAAAGCAUACUUAAAGACAGCAAAAGACAAUAACAACGCAACUUUAGCUACUAGAUUGUCCAAAAAAAGAGCACAAAAACUAAGUCAAGAUAGACAGUGAAAAGAAAAA